GGCACUUUGGCGGAGUGGUUAACGCGAUGCCCUGCUAUUAUUAGCCAGGCAUUUCCUUCGGGAGCGUGUGUUCGAAUCACACAGGUGUCG
Non-coding RNA from Macroventuria anomochaeta, 90 nucleotides. The record is from the annotation of a RefSeq genome assembly. Lineage: Eukaryota; Fungi; Ascomycota; Dothideomycetes; Pleosporales; Didymellaceae.